UACGAAGGGGGCUAGCGUUGCUCGGAUUGACUGGGCGUAAAGGGCGCGUAGGCGGUUUGCACAGUCAGACGUGAAAUUCCUGGGCUUAACCUGGGGGCUGCGUUUGAUACGUGCAGGCUUGAGUUCGGAAGAGGGUCGUGGAAUUCCCAGUGUAGAGGUGAAAUUCGUAGAGAUGUGGAGGAAUACCGAUGGCGAAGGCAGCCUCCUGGGCCAACACUGACGCUCAUGCACGAAAGCGUGGGGAGCAAACAGG
RNAcentral lists this ribosomal RNA (253 nucleotides) under uncultured bacterium. Its description in RNAcentral is "partial 16S ribosomal RNA". It matches the Rfam family "Bacterial small subunit ribosomal RNA", at positions 524 to 776 of the family's 1533-position model. The record is from RNAcentral.